Molecule: RNA transcript, 984 nt
Organism: Capsicum annuum
Lineage: Eukaryota; Viridiplantae; Streptophyta; Magnoliopsida; Solanales; Solanaceae
Exons: 3
Source: RefSeq, a predicted model, not a curated record
GACAUGGUCGCUUAUUUUUCAUAAAACUCAUACCGAAGGACAAUUUGGACUUUUCGUGAUCUCUGCCACGUGUCUUUCAAUCCAAACUUCAACAGCCAGCACAGCAGUAUCUUUAUAUAUAUAAUUUUGUUUAUGUGAGAUAUCUUAGACUUUGGAUAAUAUUUUUUUAUGCCAAGUAUUGACAGUUAAUAACCACCACAUCAAUCUCAAUUGUACCUUUAUCUUUACAUUUGCCGUCGUCGUGGCAUGUUUAUCCGAGAGAUGAAGUUGCAUGCCAGCGGUUUUUGAUUCGGAUUCAAACAGGAUAUGCAUGGUUGCUUUGUGUCUGGUCUCAGUUUUCAAUUCUGACUUAUUCUAUUUGAAGUGAUCAAGUUCGAAAAUUCAUAUGGUGAUAAUUUCGGUGCACUUUAUGUGUUGCACGUUUCAUCCUUCAUGGGAUUUGUUGACACCAUGGAAGCUAAGAUGUAGUGGGAUGUUGUUUCUUUCCUGUCUUGUAGAAAGGAUCAUGGCAAGGCUUUAUGGUAAGUGAUAAUGAAGAGAAGAAGUUGAUGUUCAGUGUGAAUAGGACUAAAAAUACAUUUACUAAACUAGAGUUUUGACAUAUUCCUUGGUGAUGGACAUGGUGAAGGCACAGAGGCUGAUAUUAAGAUGAAAAGUUCCGCCUUGAAGAGAUCGAUCCUGCACCAUCUAUAAAUGCAAUUCCAUAGUAGCUCAGUAUUGCAAGAUGUCAGUAGUUGAUGAAAACUGUGUCACAUAUUAUUAUUGUUAUUAUCAGCAUCAUCAUUCCUCCCGAUUGGCAGGACCAUAAGUUUUGCAUUGGGGAAAAAGACAUGGAAGAUUUGUGUCAAUUUUUAGGUGGGUGUUCUUGAUAAAGUAGUAUUGAAUAAUUGAUUCUGCACUUGCAGGUGUCUUGGAUCACACUUAAUUCUGUAACUUUAUUAGUUGCCCAUUUUCUUGUGGAGUACGCUUUGCCUUUUCCAUCUA